GCUCCACCGGAAAAAGAAGAGUGGCGAACGGGUGAGUAACACGUGGGUAACCUGCCCAUCAGAAGGGGAUAACACUUGGAAACAGGUGCUAAUACCGUAUAACAAUCAAAACCGCAGGUUUUGAUUUGAAAGGCGCUUUCGGGUGUCGCUGAUGGAUGGACCCGCGGUGCAUUAGCUAGUUGGUGAGGUAACGGCUCACCAAGGCCACGAUGCAUAGCCGACCUGAGAGGGUGAUCGGCCACAUUGGGACUGAGACACGGCCCAAACUCCUACGGGAGGCAGCAGUAGGGAAUCUUCGGCAAUGGACGAAAGUCUGACCGAGCAACGCCGCGUGAGUGAAGAAGGUUUUCGGAUCGUAAAACUCUGUUGUUAGAGAAGAACAAGGAUGAGAGUAACUGUUCAUCCCUUGACGGUAUCUAACCAGAAAGCCACGGCUAACUACGUGCCAGCAGCCGCGGUAAUACGUAGGUGGCAAGCGUUGUCCGGAUUUAUUGGGCGUAAAGCGAGCGCAGGCGGUUUCUUAAGUCUGAUGUGAAAGCCCCCGGCUCAACCGGGGAGGGUCAUUGGAAACUGGGAGACUUGAGUGCAGAAGAGGAGAGUGGAAUUCCAUGUGUAGCGGUGAAAUGCGUAGAUAUAUGGAGGAACACCAGUGGCGAAGGCGGCUCUCUGGUCUGUAACUGACGCUGAGGCUCGAAAGCGUGGGGAGCAAACAGGAUUAGAUACCCUGGUAGUCCACGCCGUAAACGAUGAGUGCUAAGUGUUGGAGGGUUUCCGCCCUUCAGUGCUGCAGCUAACGCAUUAAGCACUCCGCCUGGGGAGUACGACCGCAAGGUUGAAACUCAAAGGAAUUGACGGGGGCCCGCACAAGCGGUGGAGCAUGUGGUUUAAUUCGAAGCAACGCGAAGAACCUUACCAGGUCUUGACAUCCUUUGACCACUCUAGAGAUAGAGCUUCCCCUUCGGGGGCAAAGUGACAGGUGGUGCAUGGUUGUCGUCAGCUCGUGUCGUGAGAUGUUGGGUUAAGUU
This 1025-nucleotide ribosomal RNA is filed under the name Enterococcus faecium. RNAcentral describes it as "bacterial SSU rRNA". It matches the Rfam family "Bacterial small subunit ribosomal RNA", at positions 74 to 1086 of the family's 1533-position model. Lineage: Bacteria; Bacillati; Bacillota; Bacilli; Lactobacillales; Enterococcaceae. The record is from RNAcentral.